AAAAAGAAAAGAGACAGAGCGAUACGAGUAACAGCUAGGGUUUCGUCGAUUCCUUCACGAUACAUCAAAUAUUUUCGUUAUUCAUACCGAACUUUCAUUUAAAAUCUUUCAGGAUUCACCAGUAUGCUAUCAAUGGUGAAGGCGUAUGCAAAAAGGUAAGGAUUUUGUUCUUAUUUUGAAGGUAAGGAUUUUGUUCUUAUUUUGUCUUUCAUAUUGUUUCAACUUCAGAUGAACGGCAUCGAUAUAUAUAAGUAACAAAUAUAGAUUGAUUGAUCUAUCGAAAGUGAAAGUAUUUGAAGAUAGGUGUCGGCCGAUAUUGAUCUUGAUACAUAAGACAAACCGAACCAAUUUAAAGAAGAAUAAAACCAGAAUCAAUUCUAAGACAAAGGUUAUACUUUUUAUUACUGUUUGUUUCUACUGUGUUUUAUUUUGUUGUUUUAUUUCCAGCUUGAAGCUGGUAUUUCUGUGUGUUUAAGGUCUUGUUUAGAUUCAGAGGUUAUGUCUGUUUUGGUUACUCAUGAGUAAUGAGUUUUAUUUUCAGAUGAAUAAUAUUAUUAGGUUUAGUGCAAAUAGAAGUGUCCGUCUGUUUUGAUAAGACUUAGAGUUAAUUUUCUUCUAUCAGCUGUAGUGCAAAUUGAAGUGUAAUCACAUUGCAAGUUAAGUUCAGAUAGUCUUAUAUUAGAUUAAGAUUCAACUUAGGGUUAAUUUUCUUGAUUCUUAUUUGCUUUCCGACAUCAUGUAUUAGUAGUAUUGACAAACAGAGGGACAGUAGCCAGAAGCCAUUUAUCCAAAAGCAAGACUGAAGGGAGAAGAACAGAAAGAUGAGAAUCAGUUGAAUCAUAGCUAACUCAUGGUAAGUAAAUAGUAAACAUUUCUAACAAUUUAUAAUAUGCCGUUUGAUUAUCUAUAUAGUUAGUCAAUGUUGACUCUUUUGUUACCCUACAAAAACAAACACGGUUAGUGUUAGAUUAUAGUAAAAGAAAGUAAGCAAUUGAAGUUAACAAAUGUUUACACAGAAAGUCACCAUUUAGUCGGCUAAAACCAUCUCAAAGUUAACUUUUCCCAAAGAUGUGUUUUGCUUCCACGAAUGUAAACACUUAACCUGAACUCGCCAUAAGGUUUUGAAAGGUCGGACUUUUGUGAGAAAAGUAAAAGUUGUUGAUGAAGACAUGUUUAGGUUAAGGAUCUUUUUUUUCUUUUCUACUGACGCAAUAGAGUAGAUAUAUAUAUAGUUUCUUCCGA
Molecule: long non-coding RNA, 1242 nt
Filed under: Brassica napus (rape)
Lineage: Eukaryota; Viridiplantae; Streptophyta; Magnoliopsida; Brassicales; Brassicaceae
Description: long non-coding RNA (BNAP_LNC018353)
Source: RNAcentral